GAUGAACGCUGGCGGCGUGCUUAACACAUGCAAGUCGAACGAUGAAGCCCAGCUUGCUGGGUGGAUUAGUGGCGAACGGGUGAGUAACACGUGAGUAACUUGCCCUUAACUCUGGGAUAAGCCUGGGAAACUGGGUCUAAUACCGGAUAGGAGCGUCCACCGCAUGGUGGGUGUUGGAAAGAUUUAUCGGUUUUGGAUGGACUCGCGGCCUAUCAGCUUGUUGGUGAGGUAAUGGCUCACCAAGGCGACGACGGGUAGCCGGCCUGAGAGGGUGACCGGCCACACUGGGACUGAGACACGGCCCAGACUCCUACGGGAGGCAGCAGUGGGGAAUAUUGCACAAUGGGCGCAAGCCUGAUGCAGCGACGCCGCGUGAGGGAUGACGGCCUUCGGGUUGUAAACCUCUUUCAGUAGGGAAGAAGCGAAAGUGACGGUACCUGCAGAAGAAGCACCGGCUAACUACGUG
Molecule: ribosomal RNA, 466 nt
Filed under: uncultured bacterium
Lineage: Bacteria
Description: partial 16S ribosomal RNA
Rfam family: Bacterial small subunit ribosomal RNA
Source: RNAcentral